CGCCAGCGCGGUGAAGACGAAAGUCGACAAUUCCUAGUUUUCGGGGGCUGGGAAUGUAGUGUUAAAGACUGCUUUCGUUUCCAAGAAAGGGCACGGCAAGAGUUCGGGGACUGUGGAUUGGGACCCUGGCCCUAUAGCAGGAGGGAGAACUACAUUUUAACUUCUGUAUUACUUCUAGCUAGCUCUUCCAACCUUUAUUUCUAAGACAAGGUUGUGCAUCUGAUGUAAGACCAUGGUGUCAUGUACAGGAGAGUUUUGAGAAUCAAGAUGUGCCUUGAGGUUGAUGAUGAUGAAGGGGAUUGCUUGUCAAAUGGUCAGUCGGAUGAAUGCUUGACAUCACACCUUCCGAUACAUCUUGACUGAAUGGCAGUCAGCCACUGCCAGCUGCUCGUCAUUGGACGUGAAUGUGACGCCAUGUGUGACCUGAACAGCACACCUGAUGGAUGUUUUCCAUGGACAUGAAAUCAAAGGGUUUUUGCCAGAGAAGUCAGUGGAUAGGAACACAAGUGUUAGGUUUUUGGCUGCCGUUUUCACCUACUCUUUCAACUAACAAGAUGCUUGUCUUGACACCAUUUGUACAAACCUUGUUGGGUGAUGCUGAGGUACUUCGAGCUGGAUCGCACAUUUGAAGGAGAUAAGAUGAAAGUGGACUGCCUGAUGAUUCCCACGUUAACUCAUAAGGAAGUGUAAAGACACGUUGCUCUACCUGUGUGUUUCCAUCUAAUCACAUUGACUCUGGGUCUGUGAGAUGAGUUGAAAGAGACAAUGCAUGUUGCUCAACCUAACACUGUGUUCCCAUUGUGAGAAGGCAAGUUGCUGUACCCAAAACUGUUUUUAGUGGAUCACUUACAUGUGUACAUGUACCUGUGGUCUGCGAACAGAGUUGGACACAUCAUAACUUGACACAUACUCUACAUGUACAUUUACGCAGAUCAGUUUUAUGCACUGCCUGAAAGUGUGGAUACAGUGAACUUUUCUGAAACAAUUUUUCUGUAACUUUGUACAGAAAAAUGUAUGUAAUUACCAUUCCCAUAUGGUUAAAUGCAUUGAAAAGUGCACUUUUUAAACACUUAAAAUUAUCCAUGCUUUCCUGGACAAGUUAGGAGAUUGUUGCUGUGAUGUCAUUGAGGGAAGACGUAGUUUAGUGCCUAAGUUUUCUUGCUCAAGUCGUGAACCAAAGUUUGCUCACUAAACACAUUUCUUAGAGAUUGGUGCUUGCAUAUUGCUAUGGAUAUAAACAACAAUGAAUAAGCACAGAAAAUAGAAUUUAGUCCAGCAAAAUCUCCAAAAUGCAUGACUUUUCGUGUACAAACCAAUGUAACACUAAGGAUUUUGUUCCUGGGAUUGGAUCACAGUUUUGCUCAUGCAUAUGGAAAUAUUUGUCAGCGUAAAAACAACAAAGCAGAAAAUAUCCUUUGAAAGAGUGAAACAAAUGUUGGAAAUAAGGUUAACUUAGACAGAAAGUUGGAAUUUGGAUUUUGUAUUAAAACAAACUGAUUGCAGCCACCCUUCAUGGUGAAAUUAUUAAUUAAGCAAAAUAAUUCGGGAGAUUUGUAUAUAAUAAUCCGACAUAGAAGUUUUGUGUUGACUAACUUUUAAAUUGUAAAAUUUGUAAAUAUUGUAUGUGGCCUGGGAAUACUUCUUUUUACGUUGUACACAUUUGACAGAACAGUGUUUCAUUAUUAAUUGUGGAAUUUAAUGUUCAUUUUUCACCAUUUGAUUUUAUUUUGCAUGCUGAGUAUGUUGGAAAUUUGUAUUGUCAUUGAAUUGUCAUCUUUCAGGGUAUGUCUACAUCCUGCAUCUUGGCUGGUAUGACAAGUGUGCUAAAAUGACAAUUUUGCUGAAGUUAUCAGCUAAAUGUAUAUGAGAUGAAAUUGCCACAGAGAACAUCAGUCCAGAGUAUUACUAUAUAUGGGCAUAGUAGUCUUUCCCUACUGAUCCAGCAAUUUUUGUUCAGAUCCAACUCUAAAUAGCUCAAGUUGGCAACGACGAUUUUUAAAUCUUAUCGGUACAUGUGUUUUAAAACUUCUAGUUUAUGUCUGUAUUCAGGUUUUUUGCACAGCCAAUCAAAUUUUUGCAACUGAAAUGUUUCGUUAGUGUUUUUGAUGAUAUAAUGCAUCGUUUAAGAAAAGCACUCCGUAACAUGGAAACGCAUUUACAAUCCGUUGCAGGCUGGUAGUACAAGCCUUGUGAUUGGUCAGAUCACAUGAGAUUUGUGUUGUAAUAGGCUGCCCAAAUAUGGUAUUACUCCAGACUGAACAUAUUAAAUUAUUGCUGCAAGCAAAGUAAACCUUUACCCUAUUAAUCAUGGCAUCACCAGUUUGAGGCUUUAUUAUGCACACAUGUUUUAAGCGCUCAACAUGACUACAAAGGUUUGAUCAGUAUGAAUGGCAUGUUUUUUAUUUAAAUUAAAUUUCUUUUUGAAUCUUUCAAGACUUGAAAACCUUUUUCAUGUUAUGACUGAAAGUGUAACAGUAAGUUGCAGUAGACCAAUAGACCGCCCUGUUAGUGUGUGUGCAUAAGACAGCCUUUCAUUUCAGAACCAAUUCACUGUAAUUACGGUUACCUUUACUGUUUUAAAAGUCAACAAAUUAUACUUUUCAAAUACAUCUAUGUACAAUUUGCAUAAAUGUUUAAUAGAGACCUCGAACAGGGCACCUUUAGGUUAAAGGUUUUUCUGAGACACCCUGCAGUGGUGCAACUUUCAAAUCAAAUUGUACCAUUGAUCGCAGUAGAAUUUAAGGAUGAAAUUCCAUUGGGUCUUUCGAUGAUUUUUGGGUGUGUUUCGUAAUAUUUUGUGGUCAAGGGAUAUGGAGUCCUUCAGAAUUGCUCUUUAUACAUGUAUUAAGGUUUUAGCUCUUCUUAGUCAGUUAUAGUUCACAGAACCUGAUAAUUAUUGAGCACAAUACCUUUAAGAAAUAUUGUUACAGGUAUAACAAGGACACACCAUUUCCAUCAGUAAGGGUAAAAAUUGCAUUACUUUAAUCACUUUUGCACCAGUUCCCCCAAACAGAUAGCUCAGAGUUCAACACAAACCCUUACUCCUGUUAGAGAAAUUCAAUGUACUUAUUAAAAUUCUAAGAACAUUCCACUGAACAUACAUGUACCAAACAUGAAUAUUCCAAUUCGUAGACUAGUUGUAAGUUUUAAAAGUUUGAGAAGAACUGUCUUCUCAGCUACCUUUUUGUGGGAAAAACUGGUGCUGCAAAAUGUUGAUGUUUUACAAAACGAUUAACUUUGCCACAAGUUACAUCUGCAGUACUGCUACUUGACUGGACAGCUUGUUCUUUUUUCCAUUUUUUUAAAACCAUAACGCUGCUGUUAUGUUCUUAUAAAUUUUAUUUAAUGAGUUUUCAUUACUUUCGUAUGUGGAGUCAAUAAGUACAUGUAUAUCACCAAUAAGUAUAUCACUGAUAAGUAAUUGCUCACUUGUUUUUAUUCUCUAGGUAGGACAGUCAAGUCAGAUCAGGUACUGUUCUCUGCGGCAACCUGAACAGCACACCUGAUGGAUCUGUGUCACAGAUCUUCUUGUCAAGAAGAGUUUGCCAGAGAAAUCAAUGGAAUUCAAUGAGACAGUCAAGCCAGAUCAGCUGCUGUUCUUUGUGGCGACCUGAACAGCACACCUGAUGGAUCCGUGUCAAGAAUUUUUUUGUCAAGGAGAGUUUCUAGAGAAAUCAAUGGAUUUAAAAAAAGUGUUCCAAGGUUUUGGCGGCUGUCUUGAUCUACUCCUUGAACUACCAAGACAUUCUUUAUACAAACCUUGUUGGAUUCUUAUGAGGUACUGAGAACCGGAUUGCAUCAUGUUUAAAGGAGAUACAAUGAAAGUAGACUGCACCAUUCCAAUAUUAAUUUAUGAGGAAGUGGCAAGACAUGUUGAUGUAUCGAACACUGUUCUUAUUGGAUCACUCUACUUUAGACCUUAGAGCUGAAUUGGAAGGGACAGAUCUUGACUUCAAACCUGAACUUUUAUCCAGCUUACGCUGAAUUGCAUAACAUUCAGUUAUAUGCGCUGCAUAUAAAAGUAAAAGUAAAUCAAGCACAGUUAAUAGAUAGUUUCUGCAUCCAGGUUAAUUCGUGUCUGUAUACGUAUCCGUAUGACACAACAAAUACACAGGGUACAUACAAGGUUGCAAAAAUUUAGUUUGCCGUGAAUUGCAUGUCCCUACAUUGCACACAGCAACGUAGCAACAUUGGUAGCGUUCAUUUCUUCAAAACAAAAAUUAUUCACCCCAGACAGACAUUGCUAUCCAAACAAGCUAUACAUGAAGUGUCAUGAAAGUAAGAACUUUUGUUAUUAGGGAUACAAUUUGAUGCUAAAUGUGGUGUGCAAAACCAAAACUUCAUACACACCAGUUCCGUACAAAGUUGCUUCCAGAUGUCACUGUGCAGGGCUUCUCCGCAUUAUGUUUAACAAGACAUAACAGGCCUAAAGUGACGAUGUCAUAAGCAAAAAAGAUACAGAUGCUUGAUACAUGCUCAUUUUCUGUUUGCCAAAACUGUCUAUUUGGGAGGCUUUCGUAGAAGACUGUUAUUUGCCAACACAAAAGUUUUGUAAUAAUGGGUCGUAUGAAUAAAAACUAGCAAAUGCUAUGAAGUUCAAGCAAACAGCAAAAGCAUUUACUGAGAAGUACAACCAUUAAGAAAUAAGCAAAUGCUUGAAUUUAUGUGAGUAAAUUGUUUCUUUUACUAUUCAGCAUUUACUAGUGACCGCACAGCCGAAUGGUUUUGCUCAAUAGGGCUUCCGUUGUCUGCAUGUACAGAUGCACACAUUGCAGCUCAGUGUUGUAUCUUGAGACCUCAGCAUGGCAGAUAAGCAUGAUGGCAGUACUUUUGAUUGCAGAAACCUUAAUGAAGAAAUUUGCUCUGCAACUCUAAAAUCGGUGCAACUGCCUGCAUCUCGUUUCUUCAGAUUCCCUCCUGAAGGCAUAUAGCUGUUCCUUUUGAAUGACAAUCAUGAAUGCUGCCAUUUUGAACAUUUGUAAAUGCUUCUCGUUUUCAAGCUUGCUCUUACCCAGUCUUGAAAAAUAUCAAGUAAAUAUUCCAAUU
RNAcentral lists this long non-coding RNA (5046 nucleotides) under Acanthaster planci (crown-of-thorns starfish). RNAcentral's name for it is "uncharacterized LOC110973641". Lineage: Eukaryota; Metazoa; Echinodermata; Asteroidea; Valvatida; Acanthasteridae. The record is from RNAcentral.